AAAAAUAGGCCUCAUCG
RNAcentral lists this ribosomal RNA (17 nucleotides) under Cornuvesica magnispora. RNAcentral describes it as "partial 26S ribosomal RNA". Lineage: Eukaryota; Fungi; Ascomycota; Sordariomycetes; Ophiostomatales; Ophiostomataceae. The record is from RNAcentral.